Molecule: transfer RNA, 76 nt
Filed under: Pseudoalteromonas tunicata
Lineage: Bacteria; Pseudomonadati; Pseudomonadota; Gammaproteobacteria; Alteromonadales; Pseudoalteromonadaceae
Also listed under: 1 other name
Description: tRNA-Gly
Rfam family: tRNA
About the family: Transfer RNA (tRNA) molecules are approximately 80 nucleotides in length.
Source: RNAcentral
GCGGCACUAGCUCAGUUGGUAGAGCGCAACCUUGCCAAGGUUGAGGUCAUGAGUUCGAGCCUCAUGUGCCGCUCCA